GGCUUGAUGAGUGGUGCUAGAUCCGUGCCCAGGAUCGGAACCAGCGAAACCCUGGGCCGCCGAAGCAGAGCAGUGGAGGAAAGUGAAGUUCAGAAAACCUCAGGGACUUGCCAAAGGCUGACAUCCAGCUGAGAAGAGAGCCGGUCUAGUCUGGGCUGAGAGGUUUCUGCAGGGACGGGAGCAGGUCUGGGCAGAGGCAGCGCACCCUAGAGAGCUGCUGCUAGCCAGAGCGGAGGGCGAGGCGCUCCUGCAAACGUCUACAAAGGCCUCGUUUUUAUCCAGAAAGCAAGAAGUGCCCUGAAAACCCAGUUCUUUCACAGGGAAACUAAUGUCCAGAGAAUAUUAAGAAACUGAAGCUUCCAGGGCCAACUCCUUGACUUCCUGACGUCAGAGUCUACCUUCCACCGUGGAGAUAAGCAGCCAAGGACACUCACCUGAGAAAUCCUUUGUCUCCUCCACUGGAAGCAGCUGCAGACACACGCCGAUGGGAAAAGGCUGACCAAGAAGGCCACGGCCCCCCUCCCCUACCUAAAACCCCAAAUAAAAACCCCUACCUGUUUCUUAACAGGGAGCUAGCAACUUUUGAGGCACUAGCUCUUGCUUUGCUCCCUCUGCCUGGCAAAGUAAAGCCUUU
RNAcentral lists this long non-coding RNA (634 nucleotides) under Equus caballus (horse). RNAcentral's name for it is "lncRNA (ENSECAG00000058427.1)". The record is from RNAcentral. Lineage: Eukaryota; Metazoa; Chordata; Mammalia; Perissodactyla; Equidae.